GACAGAGGGUGCAAGCGUUAAUCGGAAUUAUUGGGCGUAAAGCGCGCGUAGGUGGAUUAGUAAGUUGGAUGUGAAAUCCCUGGGCUUAACCUGGGAAUUGCAUUCAAUACUGCUAGUCUAGAGUACAGUAGAGGGAAGUGGAAUUUCCGGUGUAGCGGUGAAAUGCGUAGAUAUCGGAAAGAACAUCAGUGGCGAAGGCGACUUCCUGGACUGAUACUGACACUGAGGCGCGAAAGCGUGGGGAGCAAACAGG
RNAcentral lists this ribosomal RNA (253 nucleotides) under uncultured bacterium. Its description in RNAcentral is "partial 16S ribosomal RNA". It matches the Rfam family "Bacterial small subunit ribosomal RNA", at positions 524 to 776 of the family's 1533-position model. The record is from RNAcentral.